Oryza sativa Japonica Group (Japanese rice) is the source of this 2207-nucleotide RNA transcript. RefSeq lists it as uncharacterized. The record is from RefSeq and is a predicted model, not a curated record. NCBI's taxonomy places the organism in Eukaryota, Viridiplantae, Streptophyta, Magnoliopsida, Poales, Poaceae.
AAGUUUAAAAUUUUAUUUUGAGAAGGAGGGAGUAGUAAACAGGCAAAGCAAGUUAACAACCGCCCGUCAAUGGCCGGCGGCGACCAAGCAGCGGCCAAACCCCCAACAACCUUGACCUCCGCCCCACUGCCGCCGUUCGCCGCGGCUCGGUGCUCGCCGGCGGUGAUGGCGGCUUGGCCCAGCCCGUGGCUGCCUCUCCUCCUCGUCGGCGCCCUGCUCGCCUUCGAGGACUGGCUCGCCACGCCCACCUGCUCCGGCGGCUCGACCGCCCCCGCCCCCGCCCCCGCCCCCGCCCCCGGCGACCUGAGGGUCAUGAUGGUUUCCGACCUGAUGCUGCUCGGGUCGGACGCCACCUACGCCGACCGCUUCUUCCGGAACCACGUCAUGUCCAAGCUCUUCGCCAAAUCUAUUGAAACACUUAGGCCAGAUAUGAUUGUAGUCCUUGGGGACAUCUCGGCAAUGGGUUUUCAGCUGAAGGAAAGCAAAUGGAUAGACGUUAUUGACCAAUUCAAAGGGAUAUUGGGGCAAUACUCUGACCUUCCUCUUCAUAUUGCCUUAGGCGAUAAAGAUGUAGGAGGAUGUGCCAACUUGGAUGACAGUUUUGUCCACCAUAUGGCUAAGCAUUUACCAGGAUUGGAUUCAAGUGGUUGCGGUACUUUUGAAAUUGGUAAUGUCAGUUUUGUGUCACUUAAUUCAGUUGCGCUGCUCUGUGGAAACAAUCCCCUGCGGAUCAGCGUUGAGAAGGUUAUAGAGAAGGAAAACAACCAUUUUCAACAGAAAAUGGUGAAUGAAGCAGGACAUUUUUCUUUGGGGAGUAUAGAAAGAGAGGGUUUUAAUUGGAGGCAAAACAGCAUGGAAUCAGGGUCAGGCCCUGUAGUUUUGCUCCACUUUCCACUAUAUAAGUUUUCAGAGGGAACUAUUUCAGAACCUCCGGUCUCCUCAAGUUUGAAAGAAAGAGGAGCUGAUGGCAGGAGGUCUGAUCAACUACAUGCCCUCCCUGCAAAUUCAACUCAAUAUGUUCUUCAAGCGCUUAAACCAAGGAUUGUAUUUAGUGCCCAUGAUUGCAGUUUCUCAGAUUAUACUCACUAUGAUGGGACACGGGAGGUAGCAGUGCCAGCUAUGACAUGGAAAACCACAGGAGUGCCUGGCUUUGUCAUUUCUACAUUUGGAAGGAAAGGAAUCAUGACUGUGAGGUAUUGUUUGAUAGUUCCAGAAUGGUAUGUGAUGGCAGGAUAUUCAGUAUUCUUGUUCCUAACAGCUCUGUCUGUAAGAUUGUCACAUUGGAUGUGAAAUGAAAUAUCAAAUCUUAUUUUCAAGGCCACUCCAAGUUCACCGUUAAAAAACUGAGAAGAUAAAGUUUAUCUCAAGCUCUUUUCUGACAAUGAACUGAGAUCCUUGAUCUGUGUCAUGCUAGUGACUGCUUUACACAAGUCGAGGACAGGAACUUCAGAAUCUUGCCAGGGCUAGUUGUGCUAUAAGAUCUUGAUUUCAAGCUCCCAGCUCAAUCUGGGAGACCAGCCAUAGGUGACUACCAUCAGCUAUCCAGCUGUGGAAAGUACUGCUUGCUGGCCCAGAGAAACCCCUACACUAAAGGAGGUCACAACACUGUUGGUACGGGUACUAAGAAGACAGCCUUCUUGCUCUUGCUGCAUAUGAACUCUGGAACUGUGAGAUGCUUGGGUUGACUCUGCCCUGCUGCUUUCCUGGGCAGCAAGGCAGCCUCUCCACCUAUUCUGCUUCUGAUAAACUUUAGUUCCUUUGACACAUUUGCAUGAACAUACGAUGCCAUUUGGAUGCCCAUCUCCAAUGUAGGUCUGAUGCGUUGUCAACAACUCAGGCAUUGCAUUGAGUUACAGGUGAACAUAGCCCAGCCCAUAUGGUGUGUUUGGUAACUUUGGAAUAUAUGCACCAAGUGAAUUAGAAACAUGGGAAUAUUUCAAUCAUACAUCGCAGAUCAAAACAAGGAGAAAACUUGAGGUCUUACCUCAGGUUGGUUUUAUCUCUAAAAUUGCCUAGAUGUAGAAUUUGUGAGGGCUAGAUGUUUUUUUCUCUAUAAUCAGUUGAAGGUUUUGGAGGUUUGCUUCAUGUCCUUUCUUUUGUUUUUUAUGCAUUAUGUGCGUGUUGCAUUUGUCAUGUGCAUCCUUGAUACAGACACCUUCCAUUAUCUAACAAGCAACAGGCCUUAGAUGACAGGCUCUAUGUGGAAA